GAAAUGCGAUAGGUAAUGUGAAUUGCAGAAUUCAGUGAAUCAUCGAAUCUUUGAACGCACAUUGCGCCCGCCAGUAUUCUGGCGGGCAUGCCUGUUCGAGCGUCAUUACAACCCUCAGGCCCCCGGGCCUGGCGUUGGGGAUCGGCGGAAGCCCCCUGCGGGCACAACGCCGUCCCCCAAAUACAGUGGCGGUCCCGCCGCAGCUUCCAUUGCGUAGUAGCUAACACCUCGCAACUGGAGAGCGGCGCGGCCACGCCGUAAAACACCCAACUUCUGAAUGUUGACCUCGAAUCAGGUAGGAAUACCCGCUGAACUUAAGC
RNAcentral lists this unclassified non-coding RNA (320 nucleotides) under plant metagenome. Its description in RNAcentral is "partial contains 5.8S ribosomal RNA, internal transcribed spacer 2, and large subunit ribosomal RNA". The stretch from base 1 to 105 matches the Rfam family "5.8S ribosomal RNA", at positions 50 to 154 of the family's 154-position model. The record is from RNAcentral.